RNAcentral lists this ribosomal RNA (259 nucleotides) under Pessonella sp. PRA-29. RNAcentral describes it as "partial Bacterial large subunit ribosomal RNA". It matches the Rfam family "Bacterial large subunit ribosomal RNA", at positions 1603 to 1883 of the family's 2925-position model. The record is from RNAcentral. Lineage: Eukaryota; Discosea; Flabellinia; Vannellidae.
GACUUCCAAGAAAAGCGAGUGAAGCAGCCCGUACCGUAAACCGACACAGGUAGUCGAGGAGAGUAUCCUCAGGCGCUCGAGUGAUUCAUGGCUAAGGAACUAGGCAAAUUAGACGCGUAACUUCGGGAGAAGCGUCCCCACUCUAGUAGUGGGCGCAGUGAAAAGGCCCAGGCGACUGUUUAGCAAAAACACAGGACUCUGCGAAAUCGAAAGAUGAAGUAUAGGGUCUGACACCUGCCCGGUGCUGGAAGGUUAAGGA